Molecule: long non-coding RNA, 977 nt
Organism: Fukomys damarensis (Damara mole-rat)
Lineage: Eukaryota; Metazoa; Chordata; Mammalia; Rodentia; Bathyergidae
Exons: 3
Source: RefSeq, a predicted model, not a curated record
AAGAUCUUUCCUUAAAUUAUCCCACGAGUCAAAAGACCAUCACUGUUAGUCUGUGGUGAAUAUAUUCAGAGCAUUCUCCACAAAACAAAUUUCCUGGAAAGGCAAGCGAGCAGCACAUGUUUAAGGGUCUCCAGAUGGAUGGCUCCAUCUUGAUUCUUUUGUGUCCAAGCUCCAAAGCCAAGUGCUUAUUCUGAUGCCUGGAGCAAUUUCAUCCAUGUUGGACGGCAGGGAUAAAUGUGGGAAUCAUCAGGGCCUCUUGAGACGUCUUUGCUUCCCACAGAAACUGCAGGCAUGGCAGGGAGGAGACCUGGCCGUCAAGAAUGUGAAUUAUGAGCUCCUCCAAAAGGUCAGCUAGAAUGCCCUAACGUAACACGAGAAGCGGUAACUUGGAAUUCCUUUAUGGAAUGGCUGAUAGAAGACAGAUACAUGGCUUACGUGAAAACAGAAGGAGCAGAGCUGUGUGCCUUGCAAUUAGAAGGAAAGUUACUUGUGUCUAAGCACAGAAUGACCCUGGACAGCCAUGAGUGACUCUCAUUUUCCCAGCUUCCCAGCUCGGAGGAGACGCUGCUCCUGCAGACUGCUUGUUGGAACCCUGGUAUCCAUCGGAUGUUAGGAUUUGUCGUUGCAUCUGACGCCGGCAGAGGGCGUCCAAGGUUCAGGGUGUCACGGAGGCAGAGAAGGCUUGGAAGACCAGAGCCUUGAGAUGCUUUUUCAACAAACUCAAACCAGUCUUUGUGGACACAGAGCAGGAGUCAAAUCCCCAGGAUUAAAUUCGCCCCCUCUAAAAAGCAUUUCAUACCAUUCUGGAGCAAGAGCCACCAUGAAGCCACCUGCCACCUGCAAUACAGUCCACAAACCAUCAGAAUACCUGUGUCCGUACCUCUGGCAAUGGUGUCCGGUCAUUUGUGACUUCUACCUGGUCUACAAGAGGGAAAGACUGAAGAAAACUCAAAAAGAACACCAUUACAAAGAGUAAC